Molecule: ribosomal RNA, 523 nt
Filed under: uncultured bacterium
Lineage: Bacteria
Description: partial 16S ribosomal RNA
Rfam family: Bacterial small subunit ribosomal RNA
Source: RNAcentral
GACGAACGCUGGCGGCGUGCCUAAUACAUGCAAGUCGAACGCUUUUUCUUUCACCGGAGCUUGCUCCACCGAAAGAAAAAGAGUGGCGAACGGGUGAGUAACACGUGGGUAACCUGCCCAUCAGAAGGGGAUAACACUUGGAAACAGGUGCUAAUACCGUAUAACACUAUUUUCCGCAUGGAAGAAAGUUGAAAGGCGCUUUUGCGUCACUGAUGGAUGGACCCGGGGUGCAUUAGCUAGUUGGUGAGGUAACGGCUCACCAAGGCAACGAUGCAUAGCCGACCUGAGAGGGUGCUCGGCCACACUGGGACUGAGACACGGCCCAGACUCCUACGGGAGGCAGCAGUAGGGAAUCUUCGGCAAUGGACGAAAGUCUGACCGAGCAACGCCGCGUGAGUGAAGAAGGUUUUCGGAUCGUAAAACUCUGUUGUUAGAGAAGAACAAGGAUGAGAGUAGAACGUUCAUCCCUUGACGGUAUCUAACCAGAAAGCCACGGCUAACUACGUGCCAGCCGCCGCCGUAA